GAUGACUGUCCUCAAAUGGAACUUUUCCAGUCACAAGUUCAAAGCACACCAUUCCAAAGCUGUAUACAUCUGAUUUUUCUGUAUAUUUUGAAUUUCGUGUACUUCCUGCCUGUUCUUGGGCUUCCAAUACUUCUGGCGCAUACCAGAUGAAUGGGAGAGUUUCAUUCUGAUUUGAAGAGUUUUUAGGUGAGAAUUUCUGAACUGAUGAGAGUCCAAACCCUGAAACCUUGGCAUGCAGGUACCCUUCUGAGCUUACAUUUCUUGGUUUAACAAGAAUGUUAGAAGGUUUUAACUUCCCAUGAUAAAUUUUCUUAGAGUGAAGAUACUCCAUUCCUCUGGCAAUUUGAAGCAUAAGAUCCAAUGCAACAGGAAGAGAAAAAGGAAUUCUCUUUCUCGGACCGCAAAUCUCUCUGAUGUAGCUGCUGAGAUCUCUAUGCAUUAGUUCCAUAACCAAAAAACAC
This 461-nucleotide long non-coding RNA is filed under the name Manihot esculenta (cassava). Its description in RNAcentral is "long non-coding RNA (MESC_LNC000670)". Lineage: Eukaryota; Viridiplantae; Streptophyta; Magnoliopsida; Malpighiales; Euphorbiaceae. The record is from RNAcentral.